RNAcentral lists this small RNA (574 nucleotides) under Pongo abelii (Sumatran orangutan). RNAcentral describes it as "retained intron". The record is from RNAcentral. Lineage: Eukaryota; Metazoa; Chordata; Mammalia; Primates; Hominidae.
CUCAUUGACAAGUUUGAUGAACAUGAUGGUCCAGUGCGAGGCAUUGACUUCCAUAAGCAGCAGCCACUGUUCGUCUCUGGAGGAGAUGACUAUAAGAUUAAGGUACAGAGGGUCUGUCAUAACUGAGAAUAAAGGACAGAGGACGUGGGAAGGUUUGGGAAUCAUGAAAGGGACUGAAAGACAGGAAAUUUCAUUCAUACAGAGCUCAGGCUUUUGACAACAUUAUCCGGAGAACUUACUCAGCAGACAUUUAUUGAAUGCUUACUGUAUACCAGACACUGUUUUCUUUUGUGGGAAUUCAAAAAUAAAUAAGAAAUGGCUUCUGUUUUCAAGGAGCUUUUAUUCUAAUAGAGGAGAUAAACAUAUAUCCAAGUAAUAGCAUGUACAGUUUGGUAAGCGAUAUAAUAGAGAGAUAUUCACAGUGAAAUAGGAAAGAGCAGUAUAGGUGCAAAGACAAAAGGCAUGACACAGCUAGAUACAGGGCAGCUCUUACUGGUUUUGUAUGGAGAAAACCUGGAGAAAUAGUGAGAGAAGGGGCAGAAGAUGAGAGGGGCCAGAUCAUGGAGUACCUGUU